AUUGAACGCUGGCGGCAUGCUUUACACAUGCAAGUCGAACGGCAGCGCGGGCUUCGGCCUGGCGGCGAGUGGCGAACGGGUGAGUAAUGCAUCGGAACGUGCCCAGUAGUGGGGGAUAGCCCGGCGAAAGCCAGAUUAAUACCGCAUACGACCUGAGGGUGAAAGCGGGGGACCGAAAGGCCUCGCGCUAUUGGAGCGGCCGAUGUCGGAUUAGCUAGUUGGUGGGGUAAAGGCUUACCAAGGCGACGAUCCGUAGCUGGUCUGAGAGGACGACCAGCCACACUGGGACUGAGACACGGCCCAGACUCCUACGGGAGGCAGCAGUGGGGAAUUUUGGACAAUGGGGGCAACCCUGAUCCAGCCAUGCCGCGUGCGAGAAGAGGGCCUUCGGGUUGUAAACCGCUUUUGUUCGGGAAGAAAUCCUCUGGGCUAAUACCCCGGGGGGAUGACGGUACCGGAAGAAUAAGCACCGGCUAACUACGUG
This 484-nucleotide ribosomal RNA is filed under the name uncultured bacterium. RNAcentral's name for it is "partial 16S ribosomal RNA". It matches the Rfam family "Bacterial small subunit ribosomal RNA", at positions 29 to 507 of the family's 1533-position model. The record is from RNAcentral.